This 72-nucleotide transfer RNA is filed under the name Bacillus subtilis subsp. subtilis str. BSP1. Its description in RNAcentral is "tRNA-Asp". Lineage: Bacteria; Bacillati; Bacillota; Bacilli; Caryophanales; Bacillaceae. The record is from RNAcentral.
GGAAAUCAGAUGAGUAAACGAGAAACGUUUAACGAGACGUUUUUAAAAGCUGCGCGGGGAGAAAAAGCGGAU